GGUUGUGAUCAUACCAACACUAAUGCACCGGAUCCCAUCAGAACUCCGCAGUUAAGCGUGCUUGGGCGAGAGUAGUACUAGGAUGGGUGACCCCCUGGGAAGUCCUCGUGUUGCAACCCC
RNAcentral lists this ribosomal RNA (120 nucleotides) under Helianthus annuus (common sunflower). Lineage: Eukaryota; Viridiplantae; Streptophyta; Magnoliopsida; Asterales; Asteraceae. The record is from RNAcentral.